This 82-nucleotide transfer RNA is filed under the name Diaporthe ampelina. It matches the Rfam family "tRNA". From Rfam's summary of the family: Transfer RNA (tRNA) molecules are approximately 80 nucleotides in length. Their secondary structure includes four short double-helical elements and three loops (D, anti-codon, and T loops). Further hydrogen bonds mediate the characteristic L-shaped molecular structure. tRNAs have two regions of fundamental functional importance: the anti-codon, which is responsible for specific mRNA codon recognition, and the 3' end, to which the tRNAs corresponding amino acid is attached (by aminoacyl-tRNA synthetases). tRNAs cope with the degeneracy of the genetic code in two manners: having more than one tRNA (with a specific anti-codon) for a particular amino acid; and 'wobble' base-pairing, i.e. permitting non-standard base-pairing at the 3rd anti-codon position. The record is from Rfam by way of RNAcentral. Lineage: Eukaryota; Fungi; Ascomycota; Sordariomycetes; Diaporthales; Diaporthaceae.
GCCCCACUGGCGCAAUGGUAGCGCGUUAGACUUCUAUGGAGGGUAUAUCUAAAGGUUACGGGUUCGAGCCCCGUGUGGGGUU